This 1836-nucleotide ribosomal RNA is filed under the name Ophryotrocha diadema. RNAcentral's name for it is "bacterial LSU rRNA". The record is from RNAcentral. Lineage: Eukaryota; Metazoa; Annelida; Polychaeta; Eunicida; Dorvilleidae.
CCCCCCGAACCGGCAACCUUUGGGGCAUCNCAGGCGGCCAAGGCAGAACAAUCCCGGGCAAAAUCAAAAAUGCCGGGGACCCAAAAUUCCAAAACCGGAUACCCUUAAAUUGAAUCCCCGGCUUAAAAGGCCUGGAUUUAAGGGGGAAUUCCAAGGGGUUUUAAUCGGAAAUUCGGGUUUCGAAUUGGGGGGGAUGCCCAAUUUUACCUUGCCUUAGGAUUAACCGGAAUUGGAAGGAUAAUGCAAUUGUUUGGGUAAGUUUGGUAGAUUUGGGAAAGGUGGCCGAAAGGAAGAAGGCGAAAAAUUGUAGGGACCGAAUAAAAGGUCAAACGGAUGAAGGGCUAACCUGCGGCUGAGAAACCCUGACCCGAAUCCCAUGUCAAGGCUAAAUGAUCCCUGGCCAGGUAAGUCGACUCAAAUGCAGCCAACCGGGAUUGGAAGUCGGACCGAAACGGCGAUCCGAUAAAUGGGCAAGUCGAUGGCAAAACCUGUUAAUUAUCCAGGUACCGACUUAUUUCGAUAGGGUGAACGGAGUAGUGAAAGGAUACUGCGUACAGACGAAUAGUACGUUGAAGCAAUGUAGGUAAUCAAAUUGNAGGUUGCAAUCCGCAAGAUUUUGCUGAACUGUCGAAUCAGUAGCCACAAAUCKWCURGAGMUACSSAUWGKMSKRGGGGGAGUCAAAUCCUACCAAAUCCAGACGAACUCCGAAUGCUGAUAAAUAUACCCCGCAGUGAGGGCUUGGGUGCUAAGGUCCAAGUCCGAGAGGGAAAGAACCCAGACCUACAGCUAAGGUCCCUAAAUUUGUACUAAGUUGAACUAAGGAGGUUCAGCUGCUUAGACAGCCAGGAUGUUGGCUUGGAAGCAGCCAUUCAUUUAAAGAGUGCGUAACAGCUCACURGUCGAGCGGCAGAGCAUCGAUAAUAAUCGGGCAUCAAGUACAAUACCGAAGCUUAGGAUCAUUUAUGAUGGUAGGGGAGCAUUCUCUGUACGGUGAAGAUACAAUGUGAAUUGUGUUGGAGUGCAGAGAAGAGCAAAUGUAGGCAUAAGUAACGAUAAGGCAGGUGAGAAACCUGCCCACCGAUAGACUAAGGAUUCCCUGGCAAUGCUAAUCAGCCAGGGGUUAGUCGGGACCUAAGGCGAACCCGAAAGGGGAAGUCGAUGGAAAACUGGUUAAUAUUCCAGUACCACCUUUAUUUCGAUGGGGUGACGGAGUAGUGAAAGUACUGCGUACUGACGGAAUAGUACGUUGAAGCAUGUAGGUAUAAAAUUUGUAGGUAAAUCCGCAGAUUUUGCUGAAUGUGAUAGUACCACAAAUCUUCGGAUGCGUGGAUAAUGUACCUAAACAGACUUCCAAGAAAACCUCUAAGGCAUGGAUAAAAGGUGCUCGUAACCGCGAAACCGACACAGGUAGGUCAAGGAGAACGAAUCCGUGAGGUGCUCGAGUAGAUUCAUGGUUAAGGAAACUAGGCAAAUAGCCUGUAACUUCGGGAGAAGGGGCUCCUAAUUUAAUUAGGACGCAGUGAAAAGACCCAGGCGACUGUUUAUCAAAAACACAUGACUGUGCGAACUUGAAAGAGGAUGUAUACGGUCUGACACCUGCCCGGUGCUGGAAGGUAUGGGAGGGGAGUUAUCUUCGGAAAAGCUCUGAACUGAAGCCCCAGUAAACGGCGGCCGUAACUAUAACGGUCCUAAGGUAGCGAAAUUCCUUGUCGGGUAAGUUCCGACCUGCACGAAUGGUGCAACGAUCUGGGUACUGUCUCAACCAUGAGCUCGGUGAAAUUGUAGUUCCGGUGAAGAUGCCGGAUACCCGCAACGGGACGGAAAGACCCCGAGUC